GCAAUGGAGGAAAGUCUGACUGAGCAACGCCGCGUGAGUGAAGAAGGUUUUUGGGUGUAAAACUUUGUUGUUAGGGAAGAAGGCAGUGAGUUUGAUUCAAAAAGCAAUUGUUCCUUGACCGUAUCUAAACAGAAAAGCCCGGCUAAAUUCGUGGCCAACAGCCCCGGUAAUUUCGGAGGUGGCAAGCGUUAAUCUUGAAUUUAUGGGGGUAAAGCCCCCCCAGGGUGGUUUUUUAAAUUUUAUGUGAAAACCCCCGGGUCAACCGGGGAGGGUCCUUGGAAACUGGGAGACUUGAAUGCCGAAAAGGAGAGUGGAAUUCCCUGUGUAACGGUGAAAUGCGUAAAAUUAUGGAGGAACACCAGUGGCGAAGGCGGCUCUCUGGUCUGUAACUGACCCUGAGGCCCCAAAGCGUGGGGAGCCAACAGGAUUAAAUACCCUGGUAGGCCACCCCGUAAACCAUGAGUGGUAAAUGUUGGAGGGUUUCCGGCCUUCCGUGCUGCAGCUAACGCAU
Molecule: ribosomal RNA, 511 nt
Filed under: bacterium BYS2D
Lineage: Bacteria
Description: bacterial SSU rRNA
Rfam family: Bacterial small subunit ribosomal RNA
Source: RNAcentral